UAGUCCACGCCGUAAACGAUGGUCACUAGCUGUUCGGACUUCGGUCUGAGUGGCUAAGCGAAAGUGAUAAGUGACCCACCUGGGGAGUACGUUCGCAAGAAUGAAACUCAAAGGAAUUGACGGGGGCCCGCACAAGCGGUGGAGCAUGUGGUUUAAUUCGAUGAUACGCGAGGAACCUUACCAGGGCUUAAAUGUAGUAUGACAGGUUUAGAGAUAGACUUUUCUUCGGACAUAUUACAAGGUGCUGCAUGGUUGUCGUCAGCUCGUGCCGUGAGGUGUCAGGUUAAGUCCUAUAACGAGCGCAACCCCUAUCUUUAGUUGCCAGCACGUAAUGGUGGGGACUCUAGAGAGACUGCCUCCGCAAGGGAGCGAGGAAGGCGGGGACGACGUCAAAUCAUCAUGGCCUUUAUGCCUAGGGGCUACACACGUGCUACAAUGGCGGGGUACAGA
Molecule: ribosomal RNA, 450 nt
Filed under: uncultured bacterium
Lineage: Bacteria
Description: bacterial SSU rRNA
Rfam family: Bacterial small subunit ribosomal RNA
Source: RNAcentral